GGCGGCGAGUGGCGAACGGGUGAGUAAUACAUCGGAACGUGCCCAAUCGUGGGGGAUAACGCAGCGAAAGCUGUGCUAAUACCGCAUACGAUCUACGGAUGAAAGCAGGGGAUCGCAAGACCUUGCGCGAAUGGAGCGGCCGAUGGCAGAUUAGGUAGUUGGUGAGGUAAAGGCUCACCAAGCCUUCGAUCUGUAGCUGGUCUGAGAGGACGACCAGCCACACUGGGACUGAGACACGGCCCAGACUCCUACGGGAGGCAGCAGUGGGGAAUUUUGGACAAUGGGCGCAAGCCUGAUCCAGCCAUGCCGCGUGCAGGAUGAAGGCCUUCGGGUUGUAAACUGCUUUUGUACGGAACGAAACGGCCUUUUCUAAUAAAGAGGGCUAAUGACGGUACCGUAAGAAUAAGCACCGGCUAACUACGUGCCAGCAGCCGCGGUAAUACGUAGGGUGCAAGCGUU
RNAcentral lists this ribosomal RNA (459 nucleotides) under Variovorax sp. EECC-63. RNAcentral describes it as "bacterial SSU rRNA". It matches the Rfam family "Bacterial small subunit ribosomal RNA", at positions 87 to 542 of the family's 1533-position model. Lineage: Bacteria; Pseudomonadati; Pseudomonadota; Betaproteobacteria; Burkholderiales; Comamonadaceae. The record is from RNAcentral.